RNAcentral lists this ribosomal RNA (253 nucleotides) under uncultured bacterium. RNAcentral describes it as "partial 16S ribosomal RNA". It matches the Rfam family "Bacterial small subunit ribosomal RNA", at positions 524 to 776 of the family's 1533-position model. The record is from RNAcentral.
UACGAAGGUGGCAAGCGUUGUCCGGAUUUACUGGGUGUAAAGGGCGUGUAGGCGGGAUAGCAAGUCAGAUGGGAAAUUCCGGGGAUUAACCCCAGCACUGCAUCUGAAACUGUUAUUCUUGAGUGUCGGAGAGGAAAGUGGAAUUCCCAGUGUAGCGGUGAAAUGCGUAGAGAGUGGGAGGAACACCAGUGGCGAAGGCGGCUUUCUGGACGAUAACUGACGCUGAGGCGCGAAAGCGUGGGGAGCAAACAGG